GAUGAACGCUGGCGGCGUGCCUAAUACAUGCAAGUCGAGCGAACAGACGAGGAGCUUGCUCCUCUGACGUUAGCGGCGGACGGGUGAGUAACACGUGGAUAACCUACCUAUAAGACUGGGAUAACCUCGGGAAACCGGAGCUAAUACCGGAUAAUAUAUUGAACCGCAUGGUUCAAUAGUGAAAGACGGUUUUGCUGUCACUUAUAGAUGGAUCCGCGCCGCAUUAGCUAGUUGGUAAGGUAACGGCUUACCAAGGCAACCAUGCGUAGCCGACCUGAGAGGGUGGUCGGCCACACUGGAACUGGGACACGGUCCAGACUCCUACGGGAGGCAGCAGUAGGGAAUCUUCCGCAAUGGGCGAAAGCCUGACGGAGCAACGCCGCGUGAGUGAUGAAGGUCUUCGGAUCGUAAAACUCUGUUAUUAGGGAAGAACAAAUGUGUAAGUAACUAUGCACGUCUUGACGGUACCUAAUCAGAAAGCCACGGCUAACUAUGUG
Molecule: ribosomal RNA, 497 nt
Filed under: uncultured bacterium
Lineage: Bacteria
Description: partial 16S ribosomal RNA
Rfam family: Bacterial small subunit ribosomal RNA
Source: RNAcentral